AUUGAACGCUGGCGGCAUGCCUUACACAUGCAAGUCGAACGGCAGCACGGGAGCAAUCCUGGUGGCGGAGUGGCGAACGGGUGAGUAAUAUAUCGGAACGUGCCCAGUCGUGGGGGAUAACGUAGCGAAAGCUACGCUAAUACCGCAUACGAUCUAUGGAUGAAAGCGGGGGAUCGCAAGACCUCGCGCGAUUGGAGCGGCCGACAUCAGAUUAGGUAGUUGGUGAGGUAAAGGCUCACCAAGCCGACGAUCUGUAGCUGGUCUGAGAGGACGACCAGCCACACUGGGACUGAGACACGGCCCAGACUCCUACGGGAGGCAGCAGUGGGGAAUUUUGGACAAUGGGCGCAAGCCUGAUCCAGCAAUGCCGCGUGCAGGAUGAAGGCCUUCGGGUUGUAAACUGCUUUGUACGGAACGAAACGGUGAGCUCUAAUACAGUUUGCUAAUGACGGUACCGUAAGAAUAAGCACCGGCUAACUACGUG
RNAcentral lists this ribosomal RNA (484 nucleotides) under uncultured bacterium. RNAcentral describes it as "bacterial SSU rRNA". It matches the Rfam family "Bacterial small subunit ribosomal RNA", at positions 30 to 507 of the family's 1533-position model. The record is from RNAcentral.